UCAGUUCUAGGGUCAUAAACAAUAGAAAUCCUUUCAGUUUUUCAACUUAUUUACCUAAAUGUUGCAACUUCUUAAUGCUUUUGGGCAGCCUCCACUUUUUUGGCUUUGACUUUUUUCUACCACUUAAGAUUUGUGUAUAUGAUUCUCUUCUGGUGAAAUGCAGAGAUCAAAUUAAAAGAGACCAGAAUCACGACCAUGUGAGUAUCUAUUAAAUAGAAAGUCUAAAGAAAUAUAAUGAAUAUACACACAAGAAAGGAAAAAAAACCCCUGAUACUGAGUUUUAUGUGUAGAUGGAAAGGCAGUGGGAAGUUUUGACUUCAUGUGUGUACUGAUGUGGUAAAUUAAAUUGGUCAGGGUAGCUCCAGGGAGCUAGCAAUUUUUUUCCUUAAGGGUAUAUAAAAUGUCAUAUUUUCAUUCAGAAAUGCUAAUACUCUGCUGCUCUUUCAGCAUUUUGUAUGUAAUAUUAACUGCAAUUCAUUGCAGGCAAAAAAAAAAGUUUGUUUUACUCAAAAAAAUUAUAAUGCACUCCUUAAUGUGUGCAGAAAAUUCAAUCCUGUGUCUGUAUCUGAAGAGUCACAGGACUGAACCUCCUCAUUGACUGAACUACUGGAGCUACUCCAAAUAAUCUUCAUUUUUCUGGCUUUGCACCCCCUCGCUACAAGGACGGCAGAUAACAAUUAUAACAAAACAGUAGGACUGCACUUGACAUGUGUGUGGUGCAGGGUUUCAGGGAGGGGGCAAAUGUAGAUACAAACCAGAAACUAUUUUUUUUAAUCCUCUAAAUCACAGUUUGUGGUCUCAAAGUGCAGGGUUUACUUUAGCCUGACAGGUCUGUGCUAUGUUCAGCCACACAAGACAAAAACAAGUUCCAGAUUUGGGGAUGGCAGAGAAUUCCAGCUCCUUGUCAGUUUGGCAGCAAACAUUGAGUCCCCUGGGUAGGUAUGGUCCCUUUUUUGCUUUUUAGGGGAAUUCAGGGUGGUUUUAUUAAUGUGUUCUGCCAGGAGCACAGAGGAAUCAUCAUCCUUCCUCUUUUCCUGAGGCACAUGGCAUCUGAAACUUUGGUCUUUUCCUACACAUGGAAUGGAUGUUUGGAAGUGCUCUGUGACUUGCAGCAUGCUUUUGUGUGUGAAGAUUAUAUAUUAUAUAUUUAUAUCUCCUGGUGUGUGCAGGAGACAGGAGUCAAUGAUACUGGUCAAGGACUAGUUUCCAAUCCCAUAUUCUCUGGUAUCCAGGAGUAUAAAACAGCUGGCAAAUGAAGAAUGAAUGGUGUUUAUCUGGACAAAAGCAGUCCUGAACACUGCAGUUCUGAGCCUACAAGAUGGAUAGACUGGGAAAGUGUUGGAAGCCUGUCAACAGAAGUCUUUUAAAUUAAUUACCCAGUGAAAGUUAUGUGAUCCAGAGGGCAGUUUGGACUGUAUUUAGGGAUUACUUGGAAAUCAAAUCAAAAUGUAGCAAUUUGUAAGCAAGCUUUCCUACAAAGAGGCUGCCUGACUGGUGCUAAGGUAUUUCAGGCAACUGACAAUCUGAAAUGCUGCCAGCACAGACUUCUGGCCAGCUCACAGCACAGUAAUAGCUCUCAAUAUAAGUUCUCCAGAAUCCAUCUCAAACAAGAUGAUUGUAUCCUAUGAGCCAUGAAAAGUUGAUAUGGGAAAAAAGAGACACAGGAGAAGGACACAAAACUGGAUGGUCUGAUGCCUCAGAAGUGCCAACAAUCCACUCCUAUCACUGGAGUCAGGGGAGUCUGAAAGAGCUUUUGCUGUUUACCUCAAGC
Molecule: non-coding RNA, 1771 nt
Organism: Zonotrichia albicollis (white-throated sparrow)
Lineage: Eukaryota; Metazoa; Chordata; Aves; Passeriformes; Passerellidae
Source: RefSeq, a predicted model, not a curated record